RNAcentral lists this ribosomal RNA (501 nucleotides) under uncultured bacterium. RNAcentral's name for it is "partial 16S ribosomal RNA". It matches the Rfam family "Bacterial small subunit ribosomal RNA", at positions 29 to 523 of the family's 1533-position model. The record is from RNAcentral.
AUUGAACGCUGGCGGCAUGCCUUACACAUGCAAGUCGAACGGCAGCACGGGUGCUUGCACCUGGUGGCGAGUGGCGAACGGGUGAGUAAUACAUCGGAACGUACCUUAUCGUGGGGGAUAACGCAGCGAAAGUUGCGCUAAUACCGCAUACGCCCUGAGGGGGAAAGCGGGGGACCGUAAGGCCUCGCGCGAUUAGAGCGGCCGAUGUCUGAUUAGCUUGUUGGUGAGGUAAAAGCUCACCAAGGCGAUGAUCAGUAGCUGGUCUGAGAGGACGAUCGGCCACACUGGGACAGAGACACGGCCCAGACUCCUACGGGAGGCAGCAGUGGGGAAUUUUGGGCAAUGGGGGCAACCCUGAUCCAGCAAUGCCGCGUGAGUGAAGAAGGCCUUCGGGUUGUAAAGCUCUUUUGUCAGGGAAGAAACAGCAGCUCUAACACAGUCUGCGAAUGACGGUACCUGAAGAAUAAGCACCGGCUAACUACGUGCCAGCAGCCGCCGCGG